GUUGUGGUUAAAAAGCUCGUAGUUGGAUCUCAACAGCCUUGAAGCGGUUAACUUUGUAGUUUUACUGCUUUAUAGGCUGUGCUUUUGCUGGAGGUUUAGGGGUGCUCUUGAUCGAGUGUCUCUGGAUGCCAGCAGGUUUACUUUGAAAAAAUUAGAGUGCUCAAAGCAGGCUAAAAUGCCUGAAUAUUCGUGCAUGGAAUAAUAGAAUAGGAUGUCGAUCCUAUUUUGUUGGUUUUCGGGACUCGACAUAAUGAUAAAUAGGGACAGUCGGGGGCAUUUGUAUUCAAACGACAGAGGUGAAAUUCUUGGACCGUUUGAAGACAAACUACUGCGAAAGCAUUUGCCAAGAAUGUUUUCAUUAAUCAAGAACGAAAGUUAGAGGUUCGAAGGCGAUUAGAUACCGCCCUAGUUCUAACCAUAAACGAUGCCAGCUAGCGAUCUGCCUGCGUUUUUACUGUAGACUGGGCAGGAAGCUUCCGGGAAACCAAAGCAUUUGGGUUCCAGGGGAAGUAUGGUUGCAAAGCUGAAACUUAUAGGAAUUGACGGAAGGGCACCACCAGGAGUGGAGCCUGUGGCUUAAUUCGACUCA
This 589-nucleotide ribosomal RNA is filed under the name uncultured marine eukaryote. Its description in RNAcentral is "SSU rRNA". It matches the Rfam family "Eukaryotic small subunit ribosomal RNA", at positions 612 to 1202 of the family's 1831-position model. The record is from RNAcentral.